RNAcentral lists this unclassified non-coding RNA (413 nucleotides) under soil metagenome. RNAcentral describes it as "partial contains 5.8S ribosomal RNA, internal transcribed spacer 2, and large subunit ribosomal RNA". The stretch from base 1 to 120 matches the Rfam family "5.8S ribosomal RNA", at positions 35 to 154 of the family's 154-position model. The record is from RNAcentral.
GAUGAAGAACGUUGCGAAAUGCGAUAAGUAAUGUGAAUUGCAGAAUUCAGUGAAUCAUCGAAUCUUUGAACGCACCUUGCGCUCUUUGGUAUUCCGAAGAGCAUGCCUGUUUGAGUGUCAUGAAAAUAUCAACCUUGACUUGGGUUUUGUGCUCUAGUCUCGGCUUGGAAUUGGGUGCUUGCCGCUUUUACGAGCGGCUCACCUUAAAUGUAUUAGCUGGAUCUGUCUUUGAGACUUGGUUUGACUUGGCGUAAUAAGUAUUUCGCUAAGGACAUUCUUCGGAGUGGCCUCGUUUCUAGGACGCUUGUCCGCUUUCCAAUACAAGUUCCACCUCGUGGACAUGACUUUUUAUUAUCUGGCCUCAAAUCAGGUAGGACUACCCGCUGAACUUAAGCAUAUCAAUAAGCGGAGGA